This 602-nucleotide ribosomal RNA is filed under the name uncultured rumen protozoa. RNAcentral describes it as "bacterial SSU rRNA". It matches the Rfam family "Eukaryotic small subunit ribosomal RNA", at positions 339 to 1060 of the family's 1831-position model. The record is from RNAcentral.
ACCCGUCAGAGCGGGACAUGCUCCCGGACGGAUAGGACGAUUCUGGAGUGAGCCUGAGAACGGCUACUACAUCUACGGAAGGCAGCAGGCGCGUAAUUACCCAACUGAUAGGGAGGUGGUGACAAGAUAUAACACGCGGUUAUUAUCGCGAUUGUAGUGAGGGUAUUCUAAACAGAACCUAUAGUACGAUUAGAGGGCAAGUCUGGUGCCAGCAGCCGCGGUAAUUCCAGCUCUAAUAGCGUAUAUUAAAGUUGCUGCAGUUAAAAAGCUCGUAGUUGGAUUUCAAGGACUGUAAACCCCCCGGGGAAUACAUGCACUUCUUUCCUACUAGUCUUCGGACUGUUACUGUGAGAAAAUUAGAGUGUUUCAAGCAUGCUUUCGCAAGAUACAUUAGCAUGGAAUAACGAAUGUUUUAGAUCUUGGUUAUCCAGCACACACGACAGAAGGGGGAAAGAUUAAUGCGAGUGAAAUCUCGACCCUGUCUCUCUAUCUAUCUUUUGCGAAGCUGUGCAGGAUGUUUCGUACCCACGCCCACCCCCCGCGGAUCAAAAAAUCAAUUCGGCGAAGCCUAUCUAUAACCAUGCCCACUAGGACUGGAUGGG